AAUAUUGCACAAUGGAGGAAACUCUGCUGCAGCGACGCCGCGUGCACGAUGAAGGCCUUCGGGUCGUAAAGUUCUGUCCUAGGGGACGAUAAUGACGGUACCCUUGGAGGAAGCCUCCGCUAACUAUGUGCCAGAAGCCGCGGCAAUACGUAGGGGGCAAGCGUUGUCCGGAAUUAUUGGGCGUAAAGCGCGCGCAGGCGGUCUGGAAAGUCGGAAGUGAAAUCUCGGGGCUCACCCCCGAGCCUGCAUACGAAACUUCCAGACUUGAGAGCAAGGGAGGGGAGUGGAAUUCCUAGUGUAGCGGUGAAAUGCGUAGAUAUUAGGAGGAACACCAGUGGCGAAGGCGACUCCCUGGCUUGCAACUGACGCUGAGGCGCGAAAGCGUGGGUAGCGAACAG
RNAcentral lists this ribosomal RNA (398 nucleotides) under uncultured bacterium. Its description in RNAcentral is "partial 16S ribosomal RNA". It matches the Rfam family "Bacterial small subunit ribosomal RNA", at positions 360 to 775 of the family's 1533-position model. The record is from RNAcentral.